GAUGAACGCUGGCGGCGUGCCUAAUACAUGCAAGUCGAGCGAACAGACGAGGAGCUUGCUCCUCUGACGUUAGCGGCGGACGGGUGAGUAACACGUGGAUAACCUACCUAUAAGACUGGGAUAACUUCGGGAAACCGGAGCUAAUACCGGAUAAUAUAUUGAACCGUAUGGUUCAAUAGUGAAAGACGGUUUUGCUGUCACUUAUAGAUGGAUCCGCGCCGCAUUAGCUAGUUGGUAAGGUAACGGCUUACCAAGGCGACGAUGCGUAGCCGACCUGAGAGGGUGAUCGGCCACACGGGAACUGAGACACGGUCCAGACUCCUACGGGAGGCAGCAGUAGGGAAUCUUCCGCAAUGGGCGAAAGCCUGACGGAGCAACGCCGCGUGAGUGAUGAAGGUCUUCGGAUCGUAAAACUCUGUUAUUAGGGAAGAACAAAUGUGUAAGUAACUAUGCACGUCUUGACGGUACCUAAUCAGAAAGCCACGGCUAACUACGUG
This 497-nucleotide ribosomal RNA is filed under the name uncultured bacterium. Its description in RNAcentral is "partial 16S ribosomal RNA". It matches the Rfam family "Bacterial small subunit ribosomal RNA", at positions 28 to 507 of the family's 1533-position model. The record is from RNAcentral.